AUCAAUUCCAUUACAAACAGGAAAAGCAACAGUGUUGCAAGCUUAUGCAGGCAAAUUAGGGCGUUGAAGAUUUAUUCAGUUUGAGGCGCGAAAGGAAUGACACAUCUGCACGAGAAGCUGAACUACUCAAUAAAAACUAAAAAUGGCAGACAUGAAAAUAUUGGUGAUAUAUUUGAUGAUCGCGAUGAUGCUUUUUGCUGGAACAUUAGCCGAGUCCUGGGCCCCACCACCAGCAUCAAACAAAUUCAUUAACUACAAUGCCGAUGAUGGAUUGAAGGAUUGACUUAUUCAUGAUCCGGUAGGUGGCGCCACGUCGUUGUACAAUUGUUUCUAUGUUAACUGGGAAAAAGAUUAGAUUAUUGGACAACCCUAUUUCAUUAUAAUUUAUACCGCAAUUAUGUAUAUGUGUGUGUUUAAUAUUGUGUAUCUCUGUAUUGUGUAAUAAUGUAUUCUAAUGAACGGACAAUCGUUACGGAGUAUAUCAAAUUAAAAUGAUUAUCCCCCUUACUUUUCAUUCGUUGCAUUAUUCCUUAACUUUGGACUGUGUUUUCUUUCUAUUAUAUAGAACAAGUGAAAAUGAAUUUCACGUUGAUCAUUAUUUUUUUACUCUAUUCACUCGUCAAGUAGCCCGAAUGACAUGCUGACACCGCCAAUUAGAUCAUUAACAAACAAAUAAACGGGUUUGUUUAUACGAUUUCGCAAUCAAUUGUUAAAACUUUGAAUCGGAGAAUCGAAAAUAUAAAUAUAUAUUCCCAUUCAACACAUUUUUGUUUCAUGCAGGGGAAAGGGAGGGAUAUGUGCAAAGCAAAGGCAAUUUAUAAUACUAUUUGGCGUACAUGGGAAAAUACGAAUAUCGCGUUAUGUAUGUAGGCUCUUCUGUUUUUAAUAUGGGGUAUAUGCUUCAUGUGAUAUGCAUUUGUUGCAAUACUUUCCGACUUCUGAAUGUUUUAUCUCUCUUACUUCAUCUUAUUUAAUAUUUAAUUGCUCUAUUUAAUCGAGUAAUAUUGAAUGACCUGCUUACAGUAUUAACUGGGUCAUUAACAAAGCGAAUAAACGAGUUGUUGUUUACGACUUCGCAUUUAAUUGUUAGAACGUAUGUUAGAUAUCCUGAACGGAAUUUAAAAUUAGAUGGUCAACAAGAAAAGCGCUAGUGCUUAUCUGUAGUGAAUUUAUAACAUAAUACCAGAAAGACUUGUGUAGUGAGCUUGAAGAAAUGUUUUUGCCCUUCUGCAGGGGAAAGGCUAGAGCAGGGGUGGGCAUGGUUUAUAAACCACGUGCCAAAAAAUUUGCCA
Molecule: non-coding RNA, 1292 nt
Organism: Styela clava
Lineage: Eukaryota; Metazoa; Chordata; Ascidiacea; Stolidobranchia; Styelidae
Source: RefSeq, a predicted model, not a curated record